Malania oleifera is the source of this 1226-nucleotide long non-coding RNA. RefSeq lists it as uncharacterized. The record is from RefSeq and is a predicted model, not a curated record. The transcript is spliced from 4 exons. Lineage: Eukaryota; Viridiplantae; Streptophyta; Magnoliopsida; Santalales; Ximeniaceae.
GCACAGCCAAGGAAAAAACAAAUAAAAAAUUUUCUUUUCAUGCUUCGUUUUCAUCGCCUAAGCCCUGGGUCUCCGACCACCAGCCCAGCUCCCUCUUCACCAUCUUCUUUUCUCUCCUCAUAACCCUCCUUCACGCUCAGCCGUGAGAAGCCACCUGCAGCACCUUCUUCGUCUCCGGAAACCUCCAGCCCUCACGGCCUUUUAACAGUGCAGCACAACCAACCGCCGAACACUUCCAACACCAGCCGCCAUCGUUGUUGCCGGCACUACCCCUCCGCAGCAAAGCUCCACGGCCAGCACAGCCGCAGCCCCUCUGCAACUCCACCGCAGCAGCCAUCUCCGGUGGGCAGCAGCAGAGACCCGCAGACAGCCCCCAUUCCUCCAGAUUUCUCCCAGCACCUGGCCAACCGCCGAGUACCACAACAGCCCCACAGUCUCCGACAAACGUUACCAUCGCUCAUCAACCUCGCCGUUCGCCGUCGCCCUCCGCCACACCGUCGUCUCCGGCAUCGUCUCAGUCCUGCGGUACCCCCCCACUGAUUGUUGAAUCAUUGGACUACCGAGCGUGGGGUAUCACUUGGAGAGGAGGGCUCCAUCCUCCUUGAAGGAGUGUGUAAACAGUUUGUUCCGACCUGUUAAGGGAGCAGUAUAGUGAAAUCCUUGGGUGGUUUGCCUAAGGCGAGGACGUAAGCGGGGCAUGGGAGGAGGAUCAUUCUGACGCCUUUAAAGGGCGUUAGUGUGUGCGCACAUUAGAGACUAUAUGGCAUGUCCAUCCUAGAAGCAUUCUGUGGAUUCAACGAGCAAAGUUCUAUCUACUGUACCAGAUUCGGAUUACCCGUUGAUGGCGACGCUGUUAUGUGCACGAUACAGCAAGAUUGGGAGAUGUUGCGUCAAAGCCUACUUGGAUGCAACCCCCCCCCCCCACUGGCAGGAGCGGAUAAAACGGCGCGUCCUUGUCUAUGACAUGGACGGAUGGGAAUGUAAUAACCUAAAAAAAAAAAUUAAAAAAAUUUUAAUUAAUUAAACAUUAUUAAAUUAAAUAAAUAAGUAAUUUAAAAAAAUAUUAUGAAUUAAUGAAUUAAUUAAGUAUUAUUAAAUAUGAGGUAUUAAAAUAAAUAACAUGAUAUAUAUAUAUAACGAUUAAAGUAUAUGUGUGUGUGUGUGUAUAUAUAUAUAAUAUAUUAUUAUUAUAUUAUAUGUAAAGUAAGUAAGAAAAAAAAAAAAGA